UUGCCUACGGGGGGCAGCAGUGAGGAAUAUUGGUCAAUGGCCGAGAGGCUGAACCAGCCAAGUCGCGUGAGGGAAGAAUGUCCUAUGGAUUGUAAACCUCUUUUGUCAGGGAGCAAAGUCACCCACGUGUGGGUGUUGGAGAGUACCUGAAGAAAAGCAUCGGCUAACUCCGUGCCAGCAGCCGCGGUAAUACGGAGGAUGCGAGCGUUAUCCGGAUUUAUUGGGUUUAAAGGGUGCGUAGGCGGACUGGAAAGUCAGCGGUAAAAUCGAGAGGCUCAACCUCUUUCCGCCGUUGAAACUGUCGG
RNAcentral lists this ribosomal RNA (305 nucleotides) under uncultured bacterium. Its description in RNAcentral is "bacterial SSU rRNA". It matches the Rfam family "Bacterial small subunit ribosomal RNA", at positions 335 to 639 of the family's 1533-position model. The record is from RNAcentral.